CGCGGGAUCCGGCCACGCGUGUCGGUGCCGGCGCGGGGACCUCCCGCUCCGCUCCCAGGUUCCAGAGCCAGGGGACAGUGACGCAGCUCUGAUCCAACGGCUGCAGUGCUGCAGAAUUGCCAGCUUUCAUCCCAAGCUUCCUCCCUGCCUGUGAUCACAGGAUCCACUGUCAGCACCGGAGACAGCACUGCCCUCUCAGACACUGUAGAAAAAGUAAAAUAAACCCUCUAAUCCAG
Gavia stellata (red-throated loon) is the source of this 236-nucleotide long non-coding RNA. RefSeq lists it as uncharacterized. Lineage: Eukaryota; Metazoa; Chordata; Aves; Gaviiformes; Gaviidae. The record is from RefSeq and is a predicted model, not a curated record. The transcript has 2 exons.